This 231-nucleotide long non-coding RNA is filed under the name Elaeis guineensis (African oil palm). RNAcentral describes it as "long non-coding RNA (EGUI_LNC026893)". The record is from RNAcentral. Lineage: Eukaryota; Viridiplantae; Streptophyta; Magnoliopsida; Arecales; Arecaceae.
CUUCCCAUUUUCUAUUUGCCGACUCCAUUGAAGACUUGAAAACUGAUCCCCAUGAUUUCUCUCCAACUCGUCGUGUUCUCAUGGGGAGUGAGCAGUGAUUAGGCCAUAAGAUGUCAAAAAGGGUUCUGCUCCAAAUUCACCCAUCCACACACAAACGUCACCUCAGGAAUCAAGGAUUAGAACUCUGGCCCAUUUGGUUUACCGGUUUUGGGCCUGAGCAAAUAGCCCACC